UAAUAUGGUUGAUUUAUUUAGGGUUUACAGUGAAACUUUAGAUCACCUUGAGCAUUAGGGUCAAGGGGAUGAAUUAUACGGUAACCAUAUACCAAUAGGUUUAUGAAUGAUGCUUUGCAAUCUUUCGACCUAUCCAGACGUCGGAUCCCAUUACUAGAUAGUUCCAUUGAUUGGUUCAGAAAGUCAUUCUUGUGCUACCGGCUUAUAUUCGAAUCAUACUCAAAAGAAAUUUCUGACUGAUUAUGUGGC
This 249-nucleotide long non-coding RNA is filed under the name Elaeis guineensis (African oil palm). RNAcentral describes it as "long non-coding RNA (EGUI_LNC043981)". The record is from RNAcentral. Lineage: Eukaryota; Viridiplantae; Streptophyta; Magnoliopsida; Arecales; Arecaceae.